RNAcentral lists this transfer RNA (73 nucleotides) under Corynebacterium urealyticum. RNAcentral describes it as "tRNA-Met". It matches the Rfam family "tRNA". From Rfam's summary of the family: Transfer RNA (tRNA) molecules are approximately 80 nucleotides in length. Their secondary structure includes four short double-helical elements and three loops (D, anti-codon, and T loops). The record is from RNAcentral. Lineage: Bacteria; Bacillati; Actinomycetota; Actinomycetes; Mycobacteriales; Corynebacteriaceae.
GGCGGUGUAGCUCAGCUGGUUAGAGCGCACGACUCAUAAUCGUGAGGUCCCGGAUCGAGUCCCGGCACCGCUA